GCCGGGCGUGGUGCCCCACACCUGUAAUCCCAGUGGCUCCGGAGGCUGAGGCAGGAGGAUCGGGAGUUCAAAGCCAGCCUCAGCAAGGGCAAGGUGCUGAGCAACUCAGUGAGACCCUGUCUCUA
Molecule: small RNA, 125 nt
Filed under: Marmota monax (woodchuck)
Lineage: Eukaryota; Metazoa; Chordata; Mammalia; Rodentia; Sciuridae
Source: RNAcentral